CUCCCUCGGUGACGUGCAAUUGGUUGAUGCACAGCGUCAUUUUUGGUGUGCCGUUUUCGAACGAGGACCCGCCUGAUUUGACACAGGGCACCCAACAUGCCAGAGCACCAGCUGCGGGGCUCCCGCCAACCCCCGGCCGCCUCUGCCCUACAGCCACGCGUGGGGCACACCGAUUUGGAGGGCUGACCGUCGCCCACCGGGCUGCUGUCAGACUUGGAGACUUCGUAAGAUGAUGUCACAUAUACCAGCAACAGUGACAGUUUUAUUUCAGUGUCUGGGCUCAUCCCUUGGACAGAUUCAAGCCGACAUUCCAAUAGGAAGAAAGCUUUGUAAGGUCUCACUAUGGGCCUUACCUUCCUUCUCUGGUUUGCUGGCUGCACCAGAGGCAGAAAUACCCGCAGGCUGACCAGCUGGCUAGCACUAGACUGCCUUGCUAGAAACAAUAACUUCUCAAUGUUUAACAGAAAAGAAAGUUCACUGUAUGGAGUUGUUAAAUUGAACCCUGGAGCCCAGCGCAGACCCAAACCUUUCAACUUCUUGAAAAUGACGUCCAUCUAGUGGGCAGAGCUCGAUAUUACAGCAGCAAACAACAACGGCUUCUCUAAAAGAUGCUUACCUACAUCCUGAUGAGGCUGCUGGCAUUUUCUUCAAGUUCAAAAUGUGGACUUUGGCUCAUUCUAUGCUGAUAAAUUUACCACCAGAGAACAAGUGGAAAUUUUGGAGAAGAAUGAUCGAUCACUGUCUGAGACAUCUAAACCAUAUAAAUGAAUUAAAGGCGCAGUUCUGCAAUCCCUCUCCAUUUGCUUCAGGGGACAUUACACCAGGAAGACUCCUGAGAGACUUAAAUUAAUCCUUUUGCUUGUGUGCACUAGAUCUUGCUGACGAGGAGAUGUACAACUGGCAUAUGUAAUAGUCCCGUGUACCUGAACUGUGUUUAAAAAUAGGAACCCUGUGAAACAGAAAGAUAAAAUCUUGAAUUAGUAUGAUUAACAAACAGGUUUUCAUAUCAAUUUUAUUUAUGAAGAGUAAUUGAGAGUAUCCCAAAUCCCUUGUCACCUUGACUACCGUAACCCAUGGAAGUAAUCAUAGGUCAGAGAACAAGAAAUAAAUCGCAAAACCCUUUUGAAAAUGUCAUGGGAUUUUGAGACCAUCUAAUCAAAAUUAUUCAAAAGCAAAGUGUUUUGCAGCACCAAAGCAAAGUGUUGGAUGGCCAGAAAUGGGAAUCCUGCUGCAUUCCACAUCAUGUCAGCAUGGAAGGGUAGCACUCUUGCUGCCUAUAUGCUGCAGUCAUCUACUCUCCCUGGAGCCUCUCUUUACCAAUGCUGCCUGAGUGAAGCGAGUUGACUGAUAGACCCAUGUCUCUGAAUCCCAGCCAACAUCUACUUCAGUUGUUUAACAGAAAGGCCGCGACCACUGUGCAACUGGAAAGUGGUUGCAAGUCUUGCUUUGAUGGCCUCUGAGCACUGGGUGUCCUGCUGUGCAUGCUCUUUUUCUCCUUCAAGUACCCGUAUCAGGCUAAUUAAUUACCCAGUGAGCUGUGUUGCCCUUAAUGCUUUGCAGAAUGAGUAGGGCAGCAUUCCCAACCAUUAACUUCUCUUAAAAAUUGAUGUUUGCAAUUUGACAGGACGUUUUCUUCUUGUGAUAUGUUUUGUACACUUGUUACAACAGAGAAGUUCCACUGAAAUGGAAUACCUCUAGCAAGAAGCUUCAGGGUUACCAACUCAGCAAUUCUGCAUGAAAAACACACGUUCUCAACAAGUUUUGAUUCAAACAGACUUUUAAAGCUGCUUUAAACAGAGAAAGUCAAUGAAACCCUACUCAGGCUGUUAUUUGGACAAUUCAAAAGCAUAAUAAACAGUGAGA
This is a non-coding RNA of Phalacrocorax carbo (great cormorant), 1863 nucleotides long. Lineage: Eukaryota; Metazoa; Chordata; Aves; Suliformes; Phalacrocoracidae. The record is from RefSeq and is a predicted model, not a curated record.